GGUUAAGCGAUUAAGCGUACACGGUGGAUGCCCUGGCAGUCAGAGGCGAUGAAGGGCGUGCUAAUCUGCGAUAAGCGCCGGUAAGGUGAUAUGAACCGUUAUAACCGGCGAUACCCGAAUGGGGAAACCCAGUGUGACUCGUCACACUAUCAUUAACUGAAUCCAUAGGUUAAUGAGGCGAACCGGGGGAACUGAAACAUCUAAGUACCCCGAGGAAAAGAAAUCAACCGAGAUUCCCCCAGUAGCGGCGAGCGAACGGGGAGGAGCCCAGAGCCUGAAUCAGCAUGUGUGUUAGUGGAAGC
Molecule: ribosomal RNA, 302 nt
Filed under: Salmonella enterica subsp. enterica serovar Agona str. 0322
Lineage: Bacteria; Pseudomonadati; Pseudomonadota; Gammaproteobacteria; Enterobacterales; Enterobacteriaceae
Description: bacterial LSU rRNA
Rfam family: Bacterial large subunit ribosomal RNA
Source: RNAcentral